Long non-coding RNA from Scylla paramamosain (green mud crab), 404 nucleotides. RefSeq lists it as uncharacterized. The transcript is spliced from 2 exons. The record is from RefSeq and is a predicted model, not a curated record. NCBI's taxonomy places the organism in Eukaryota, Metazoa, Arthropoda, Malacostraca, Decapoda, Portunidae.
CGAGCAGGCGGAGUGGCGGGCAGGAGUGGUGGGUCAGUGGCUUCUUACCUUGACCUCCGUGAACACAGGUGACGGCACACUUACCUGCAAAGAAAAGGGAUUAUCAGCACGUGGAGAGCCUGUGAGCUGCAAACACCACAACUUCACGGCGCCUUUGUCCCCCCUCGCCUGGCUGGUUGUCUUGCAUCUCUCCGACACUCCAAUUCGUGACUCAGCCUCCACUCGUCCGUGAAUCCCCGAUGCACCCUCACCACCACUACCUUUAUCAUCACCGCCCCUUCAAUAGAUUGGCUUCUGAGGGCAGCUCCAUUGUCCCUAACCCCUCUCUGUCCGGAUUACGUUGCGUCUAUUUUUGUUUGUAAUGAUUUAUUUCUAUGUGUUUGUUCUGUCAUUGUCUUCCUUCA